RNAcentral lists this ribosomal RNA (465 nucleotides) under uncultured bacterium. RNAcentral's name for it is "partial 16S ribosomal RNA". It matches the Rfam family "Bacterial small subunit ribosomal RNA", at positions 28 to 507 of the family's 1533-position model. The record is from RNAcentral.
GACGAACGCUGGCGGCGUGCUUAACACAUGCAAGUCGAACGGAAAGGCCCUGCUUGCAGGGUACUCGAGUGGCGAACGGGUGAGUAACACGUGGGUGAUCUGCCCUGCACUUCGGGAUAAGCCUGGGAAACUGGGUCUAAUACCGGAUAGGAGCCAUUUUUAGUGUGAUGGUUGGAAAGUUUUUUCGGUGUAGGAUGAGCUCGCGGCCUAUCAGCUUGUUGGUGGGGUAAUGGCCUACCAAGGCGGCGACGGGUAGCCGGCCUGAGAGGGUGGACGGCCACAUUGGGACUGAGAUACGGCCCAGAUUCCUACGGGAGGCAGCAGUGGGGAAUAUUGCACAAUGGGCGCAAGCCUGAUGCAGCGACGCCGCGUGGGGGAUGACGGCCUUCGGGUUGUAAACUCCUUUCGCUAGGGACGAAGCUUUUUGUGACGGUACCUAGAUAAGAAGCACCGGCUAACUACGUG